RNAcentral lists this ribosomal RNA (285 nucleotides) under uncultured soil bacterium. RNAcentral's name for it is "partial 16S ribosomal RNA". It matches the Rfam family "Bacterial small subunit ribosomal RNA", at positions 26 to 338 of the family's 1533-position model. The record is from RNAcentral.
AGAACGAACGCUGGCGGCAUGCCUAACACAUGCAAGUCGAACGAGACUUUCGGGUCUAGUGGCGCACGGGUGCGUAACGCGUGGGAAUCUGCCCUUGGGUUCGGGAUAACAGUUGGAAACGACUGCUAAUACCGGAUGAUGUCUUCGGACCAAAGAUUUAUCGCCCAAGGAUGAGCCCGCGUAGGAUUAGCUAGUUGGUGAGGUAAGAGCUCACCAAGGCGACGAUCCUUAGCUGGUCUGAGAGGAUGAUCAGCCACACUGGGACUGAGACACGGCCCCAGACCU